Long non-coding RNA from Trachemys scripta elegans, 2662 nucleotides. RefSeq lists it as uncharacterized. The transcript has 3 exons. The record is from RefSeq and is a predicted model, not a curated record. NCBI's taxonomy places the organism in Eukaryota, Metazoa, Chordata, Testudines, Emydidae.
ACUGAUUCAGCGUCUCUGACUCCAGGAGCGGCGGGAAUCCUGGUCUCUCAGAGCAGCGGUUCGCGCAGGAGCGCGCGCCAGUUCAAACUGCAGCCACCUUGGUGCAUGUGUCCUGUCUAACUGGCCUCAUUCUCCCAAGCUGGGACUGACCUCUGGUAUCCGACUUGAGAAUUUUUAGUCUUCAAUUCAGUAAAAAACAUGGAUCAUUGGCCCAGGACUGGGACACACAGGGAUCAGCAGGAGCCCAGUGCAACCGCAGUUUCAGCUGAUUCAACCACUACUGUUGGCUGUAGCAGUGCCAAGGCAGAGGAAGCCAUGCAUGGUUUACAAGUUCAACCUGGGAAGCGUGUGACAGAGCAGGACCCAGAAAGGGUGUCAAAAAAAUGCAAACAUGAUGAGAGCUACAUUGAACUUAGAUUUACAUGGCCUGGGGACACUGGAUAUUCUCAGCCGCAGUGUGUUCUAUGCGGUGAAGUUUUACCAAACAACAGUCUUAAACCGUCCCUUCUUCGCCAGCAUCUAGAGACUGAACACAAUCAAUUUAAAGACAAACCGGCUCAGUUUUUCAAUCGCAAACUGGAAGAGUUAAAAAGCAGUAAAAAAAUUGCCAUAGAAUUCUUGCAAGGAAAAUGUAAGUGCACUUCGAGCUUCAUAUUUCAUGAGUUACGGAGUGGCUAAAACAGGAGAACCACACACUAUUACAGAAGAUUUCCUUAUACCUGCUAUGAAGGCCGUGGUGAAGUGCAUGCUCGGUGAAAAAGCAGAAGAAAAACUUGAUUCCAUACCCCUCUCCAAUGACACUGUGUCACGCUGCAUUGCCGAUAUGGCUGAAAAUGUUCUUUCUCAGCUUGUGAAUCGUAUUAGAAACAGUGACUAUUAUUCUUUGCAAUUAGACAAGUCCACGGAUUUAGACAGCCUAGCUAAACUUUUGGUUUAUGUCCGUUAUAUGUAUGAAAAUACCAUACAUGAAGACUUUCUCUUUUAUCAUUCCCUGCCUACCCAAACAACAGAAGAAGAGAUUUUUUUGCUGCUUGAUAACUUCAUGAGUGAGAAUAGAAUUGACUGGUCUCGCUUGUAGGGAUUUCUACUGAUGGGGCAAAAUCGAUGAUGGGAAAGCACAGUGGAGUUGUGGUUCGCCUCAAGGCUGUAGCAACAGAAGCCACAUGGGUGUACUGCAGCAUCAAUAGAGAGGCCUUAGCUACCCAAAAAAUGCCUGAAAACUUAAUGUCAGUGUUGUCUGAUGCUGUCAAAAUGGUUAACUUCAUUACGGGUCAGUGUCAAAAUUCAAGAAUUUUUGCUACCCUGUGUGAUGAAAUGGGAAAUGACCAUUUGCCACUACUAAUGCACACAGAGGUUCACUGGCUGUCGCAUGGCAAAGUGCUGACACGACUCUUUGAGCUGCACAGCAAGCUUCAAGUUUUUUUCACUGAUCACCUCCCGUUUGCACAGUCGUCUUGCUUGGAAGAUACUGCCUGGCUUCAGCGAUUAGCCUACUGGGCAGACAUUUUUUCUUGCCUCAACGAGCUCAGUUUAGGCCUUCAAGGCUUAAGCACCACUAUUUUCAAAACACAAGACAAAAUCGAAUCCAUGAUUAAGAAACUACUAUUUUGGGAUAGCUGCUUAAAGAGAAAUGAGAUUGACUCCUUUCCAACACUGCAAGAGUUUUUUGCAGCAAAUGAUAAUAUGCUGUUACAUGAGAGUGUGAAAGCUGACAUGGAGCAUUUGCAACAACUUAGCAAACAACUUAGAAAAUAUUUCCCCAAAAUGGACAAUGCAAGUUCCUGGAUACGCAAUCCAUUUAAAGUACCUCAGUCUCUCCCAAUCCCUCCUCGGCCAGUGCGUGAGCAAGAGAAACUUUUAGAUCUCUCUUGUGACAGUGGGCUUGAAUUAAAGUUCGAAUGCAAACCUUUGGCAGACUUCUGGGUGCAAAGGAUGGAAGAUUACCCAUAACUGUCAAAACUAGCUGUCAAGUUUCUGAUGCCCUUCUCCACAACAUACCUUUGUGAGACUGGAUUCUCUGCUCUCAUGGCGAUGAAGACAGAGUACCCUCAGAGAUUAAAUGCUGAAAAUGACUUGCGACUGAAGCGCUCUCCAAUUUUCCCUGCCAUCAGUGAUUUGUGUGAUAAAAAGCAAGGACAUCCAUCACACUGAUAGCUUCCUAGCGACUGGAUGCCAUGACUAGAAUCCCCUUGUGCGCUACAGUUUCCCUGCGUUAUGGAGUCUUACCCUUUGAAGAGGAAGCUGCAGGUGAUCAGUAUGUCAAACAGGAGGAACUUCAGCAACAACGCUCUGAUGGCCAAGAGAAGCAGGAUUUGUGAACAGAUGGGCAGAGCUGAAACAGAUGGAAUCAUGUACUUGAUCAGGCCUUGGGGUGCCACGCAGAAGAAUUACCAAUGGUCCCUAUUGGGACUGUGUAUGGCUGCACUGCCCAACCUUAUACACCAGAGGGUCACAUAAACCUAAGCACAACCUUGUGUGUGCCAAACAGCUUCCACAUAUUUUAAUAAGAUUUAAAGUAACCUGUAUUGAUUUACAUUUUAAGUUCUCUUGUUUCAGAUGUAUUUAGAGAGGUUGUUUUUAUGUACGGUAUUGUCUGUUUACACUCUUGUGGAAACUAAAGCUGUAAACAUGAUGCCAAAACGCUAAUAAAUCAGACGUUAGU